RNAcentral lists this ribosomal RNA (253 nucleotides) under uncultured bacterium. Its description in RNAcentral is "partial 16S ribosomal RNA". It matches the Rfam family "Bacterial small subunit ribosomal RNA", at positions 524 to 776 of the family's 1533-position model. The record is from RNAcentral.
UACGUAGGGGGCAAGCGUUGUCCGGAUUUAUUGGGCGUAAAGAGCGUGUAGGCGGCCAAGCAGGUCCGCUGUGAAAACUCGAGGCUCAACCUCGAGACGUCGGUGGAAACCGUUUGGCUAGAGUCCGGAAGAGGAGAAUGGAAUUCCUGGUGUAGCGGUGAAAUGCGCAGAUAUCAGGAAGAACACCCGUGGCGAAGGCGGUUCUCUGGGACGGUACUGACGCUGAGACGCGAAAGCGUGGGGAGCGAACAGG